RNAcentral lists this unclassified non-coding RNA (292 nucleotides) under Hevea brasiliensis (rubber tree). Lineage: Eukaryota; Viridiplantae; Streptophyta; Magnoliopsida; Malpighiales; Euphorbiaceae. The record is from RNAcentral.
GUUCAAUGCUUGUUAUGGACGAGGUGGGUACCAACCUGACAACAGUUUUCUAUUUAUAUAAUUUCUUAGAGAGCAGUGUGUACGAUGGUUAGUUAAGUAAUCUUUUGCUUCCAUCACUUUUUUUUUUCCUAUUUCUUUUUUCACAUAAUUUUUUGGUCUAUCUGUUCUAACAUUUUUAUUCUUCCAUUUGAAGGAGCAAUGCAACUUUCCUGAAGAAUAUUUUCAAUAUUUUGGAUUUUGCUUGUCUCAUUCUUUGUUUCUAUAUUUUGCUUGGUUAUUAGUUCUUGCAGAU